Molecule: RNA transcript, 4175 nt
Organism: Leptopilina boulardi
Lineage: Eukaryota; Metazoa; Arthropoda; Insecta; Hymenoptera; Figitidae
Exons: 8
Source: RefSeq, a predicted model, not a curated record
GUUAUUUAUUUUACAAUUGGUUGAUGAUAAUUCUUGGAAGUAAAAACGGGACUGGAAUUUUACCAAAUGACCAAUCUCUUGAAGAACAAGUUUUUGACCAGGGAACUUGAGGUUGUGAUCGCGUCUUUACUUUCAACCGAUUUUUAUUAUUUGAAAUAGAAAAAAUUAAUGGACCAUUGACUCUUUGUUCUAAAGUGAUAAAAAUGCACGAAGUGCCACAAGUUUAUAUUUAUAAAAAAAAAAUAUGUCACAUGACAAAAACGUAAAGAUAUGAUAAACAUUUGGAUUAUUUAUAAAAUUAAUUUAAACAUACCGCCAUUGUAUAAGGGAGGUUGAAGAAAAAUCAAUAUUAGAAGAAAACCACCCCCAUACGCAUGUACAAAGAUAACUUUGAUAUAAUAACGAUAGGCAUCUGUUACAAUUUUAUUAUUUGUGUGUAUAGAGAAGCGACUGAAAAAAAAAAUUGAUCGAAAUUCCUAUAAUAUAUUCUAUAAAGGGAAAUAGACCCCUCUAUUAAAAAAAAAAAAUGUCUGGAAAUAAGUGUGUCAAGCCUCCCCGGAAAGCUUAUGUGAAAGAACCUCAUGAGAUGACUCACACUGAGAAGCUAAAACUUAUUGAUGAUGAACUUAAUUCUUUUUAUAGAUAUUGUCAACAGGCUGGCUUUACAGAAGAUGAAAUGGAUAUUAUUUGUCAACCAUUGGUUGCUGCAAUGAGAAAAUCAUGGUUACAAUUAUUUUUUCGAGCAACAGUACUUUUAGUAAUUAUUGGUACUUUGGCAUGUUUGAUUGCUCAAAUGGAUUUUCUUGGUACUCAUUUUACAGCUGUUAGCAGACUUCUUUUAAUCAAAGUAUUACCAAUUUGGAAUUGGCAACCACUUUAUUAUGAGAAUUGUAUGAUUAACAAUCCAUUUUACAAUGAUUAUACAGUAACCGAAGAAGAUUGUGUGACAUGUGAAGCAUUGGAGAACAUUGAUCGUUUAUCAGACGUGAGAUAUCGAAAUUUGGUUGAUAAUUAUUUAAAUCGUGAUGCACCGGCAAUUAUAACAGAUGCCAUGAGUUCCUGGCAUGUCAUGAAUACUGAUUAUUUUUGGUUCGACAAUAUUACAAAUCUCUAUUUGGAAAACGAACGUUUAAUGGAGACAGUGCCAUGUUCAUUGACAUCAAAUUUAAGAACAGGAUCAUCAGAUUUAGCAGCAUUUUUACGAAGAGUUCAUUCACCAGGUGUUGCAAAAUGGUUUGUUCAUUGGCAAAAUUGUGAUAUAAAUGCAGUUAAAGUUCUAAGGAAAUAUUAUCAACGACCAUAUUUUCUAUCAAGUACCGUUUCACCAGCACACUUUAAUUGGGUUCUUAUGUCAUCAGAUUAUAAUAGUCCCAAUUAUAAAAAAGUUGAACUUGACUCGGGAUUAAUUGCACUAGCACAAUUAAGAGGAGCCACACAACUUAGGCUAACGCCAAUUAAUCCCUGCAAUAGUUCAUGUCCCGAACUCAUUGCUGAUUUACAUCAAGGCGAAAUGUUAAUUUUUACUAAUUUAAUGUGGAAUUUGGAAUACGCACCAAUGAGAGGUUUGGAUAAUAUAGCAAUUCUCACAGAAACAGUUUGGGAAGAGGACUCAUGAAAUUUAUAAAAAAAAAAAAAAAUACACACACACAAAUCGUUAAUCUUUUAACUUCUUGAUGUAGCCCGUGAAACUUCCAUAUAUUUACCAAAAAAAUGUUUGCUCACGAAUAAAAAAAUGAAUUUGUUUCAAAAAGAACAACAAAGAAUUGAAGAGUGUACGUAUAUUUAUUUGGCGCAUUACAAUUCUCUAGAAAACCGUCGAACAAUGGAUCGGAGGUAAAACUAAAAGACAAACUGAACUUUGUACAUCGGUCAGGUAAAUAUCGAAAUAAAAUUCCUCGCAGUUCCUCGAUUAUCAUACGGCAGUCUUUGCACUUAUCCUAAGAGUUUUCGAAUCACACUGAUUAUUUAAAGCCGAUUUAUUUUUUUUUCUUAAAGAAAAGCAAAGAUCGAACGUCUUUUUAUUUUUUUUGAAACUGACGAGGCGCCGAUCCACCACCCUCAAAAAAAAAAAAGAAAAAAAAAAAAAAAAACAGUUCCCUUCUUUUUUUUCGACGUUAUACAGCCUUUCGAAUAUCGAGGACCUUAAUUAUUAUCUUCUAAAAUCGAUAUAAUAACUGCAAUCGUAUCGAUUAAUUUUCUUUUUAUGCGCAACGGCGCGCCUUAAACGUGCAUUUUUCUUAGCUUUCCUCCUUUUUUUUUUAAUACUUCUUUUUUUUUUUCCUAACAAUUUCUUACACUCUCCUGCGUCGUUUUUAUUUGCUUAAAUACGCAAUUUUCAAUAUUUCUUAAAUUUCUCUCAAUAUAACUUGGUUAAACGCCAUAGAUAUAAUUUCAGCAUAUAAUGUACCAACGUUUUUAUUUUUUUUUAUUCUCUUAUCUUCCUAUUACUCUCGUAAAUCUCUGGCGAAAUAAAAACUAAAGGUAUAUAGAUAUACUUUGUACAAAAUACGAUACAAGUAGCGAUGUAACAACGAUUUGCAAUAAUUAAAUAUAUGUAUACGUAUGUAUAUGUUUAUAUAUAUAUAUAUGUAUAUAUAAUAUUUAUAAUAUAAUAUAUAACAUAUAUUGUAUAUAUAUAUAUUAUUUAUACGUAUAUUUAUAUAUAUAUAUGUAUAUUAUUUAUAAAUCAUUAUUUUAUGCUAUUAUGCGUACACACGUGCAAAUAUUGCACCCACUGUCAUUUUUCUCCUCUCACUUGAUGUACCCGAUUUUUUAUUUUUAUAAUUUAUACAUAUAUAAUUGUAAAUAAAUUUACAAAAAUUAUAUGUAUAAAUUUUUAUCGGGUAUUGACUAAGUUAUUUCAUUGGUCCGUCAAGACCAAUAAAUUUCUUAGUUUUAAUUAAUUUUAUAUACUUCCUAAUUUUUAUAUACGUAUAUAUUCAUUACCAAAAAAAAUUAUCGACUUUUUUUUUUACAAAGUGAUCUUUCAUUCAAUAAUGAGAAAAUACAAUAAUUAACAAUAUUGUGAUAAUUACAGUAUGAAUUUUAAAAAAAUGUAAUAAAUUUAUUCUAUUAAUUUGAUUUUUAAUUAAAAUUAAAUUCUACUUUUUUUUUACAUCCAUCAUUUUGUAUUUGCAUAAAUAAUUUUUUUUUCUAUCUAAUUCAAUUGAAUUGUUAAAAAUUAUUUUUUAAUAAUUAAUUAAUAAUUACAAAAAAAAAAUUUGAAAGCUAUUUCUCAAAUAAUUUCUAACGGUAAUGUAUAUAUUUUUUUCACAUAAUUAUUAAUAAUUUACUAUUAAUAAAUAUUGAUGAAUAUUUAUUAAUGGUAAAUUACUAAAAAAUUUGUCUAAUUAUACACGAUUAUGGUGAACAGCUGACAGAUUCUGGCGGGUGUAUUUCGGCGCAUCGUCAUACGUAUAUACGAUUGCGAUAGCAAGCUAAAGACUUUUUUUUUUUUUUACUUAUUUAUUUAAUUAUUUAUUUAGUUUUUUUGUUUGUUUGUUUGGAAUGCGACAGAAUAUUUUACAACUUACAAUUUUCAAAAUUUGAAAAGUGAUAGUCGAGUGGAUUUCUUAACAUUUUUUUUUCUCCCCUUAUUGUAGCGAAAGUAUCAUUAAUAUUUGAGUAUGUACCACCACGAAAUAAUAAAAAAAAAAAUCCAUUAUUUUCUUUUUUUGUCUCUCCUUUUUGUUUUCUCUGUAUAUAUAUGAAAACAAUUUCUUUACUAAUAAAAUUUAAUUUCUGUAUUUUGAAACAUAUUUAACAUUGUUUUAUUAUAACAAUAUUAUAUUUUUUUAAACUAUUUAAAUUAAAAUGUGAUAGCAAUUUUUCAACAAUAUUCGUUUUUUCUUGAUGAUAUAAUUUUUUUUUUUGGAUAAUUUAUCGUUUUUUGUUCGAUGAUAAUUUCCGUAUAAUUUAUUAUCAUCAAUAUUCGUUUUUUUUUUCUUCAAGCUAUUAUAAUUAUUAUUUGGUUAUUAAUUUAAGAAGUUUUCUAUCAAAUUGCUAAUAUAUUAUUAAUGAUAAUAACAGGUAUAAUAAAUUCGUAUUUAUCAAUAUUUUUAAUCAUUAAAUAUUGAUAAUAACAGCUGUAAUACUUAUGAAAAUGUUUAAAAAUUAAAUUUAUGUACACAUGAACUUAUUAUAAAUGUUAAUUUGUUUUUAUUUUUCUUUUUUUU